Odocoileus virginianus texanus is the source of this 451-nucleotide non-coding RNA. The record is from RefSeq and is a predicted model, not a curated record. Lineage: Eukaryota; Metazoa; Chordata; Mammalia; Artiodactyla; Cervidae.
UCCCAGCCCAGGGAUUGAACCUGGAUCUCCCACAUUGCAGGCGGAUUCUUUACCAGCUGAGUCACAAGGGACGCUUAAGAGUGCAUUAAAAGGCCACCCUGGAGAAAUUUUCACAACUCAUUGGAGAAAAGUGGGAUAUAAAACUAUUUGUGUGAUCCCCAUAUUAUUUAGAAGACAGGAAGAAAAAGCAGAUCGGGGAGCUCUGAUAAUUAGCAUCUGAGUCCUGUACUGCCAACCCUGCUGAACUUUCUGAGGAAAAGAAACACGAGAGAGAAGCAGGAUCCUUAAGUCAGCAACUGAAUACCUACAAGCAACUCUGUCAUCUGAUAAAGGCUUGCUGACUCAUUGACAAUCCUGCAGAUAACUUGGAGCCUUUAUAACAUGCCCUGCUAAAAGCUUUGCUCAAACCAGAACAGAUAAUGACACUGCCGAGCAGCCCCCAGGCCGCCUG